RNAcentral lists this ribosomal RNA (1270 nucleotides) under Smidtia japonica. RNAcentral describes it as "eukaryotic LSU rRNA". It matches the Rfam family "Eukaryotic large subunit ribosomal RNA", at positions 142 to 1219 of the family's 3401-position model. Lineage: Eukaryota; Metazoa; Arthropoda; Insecta; Diptera; Tachinidae. The record is from RNAcentral.
GAUGCAGUGUAUGGAAUGUCAAAUUUCUAGUAUGAGAAAUUAACGAUUUAAGUCCUUCUUAAAUGAGGCCAUUUACCCAUAGAGGGUGCCAGGCCCGUAUAACGUUAAUGAUUACUAGAUGGCAUUUCCAAAGAGUCGUGUUGCUUGAUAGUGCAGCACUAAGUGGGUGGUAAACUCCAUCUAAAACUAAAUAUAACCAUGAGACCGAUAGUAAACAAGUACCGUGAGGGAAAGUUGAAAAGAACUCUGAAUAGAGAGUUAAAUAGUACGUGAAACUGCUUAGAGGUUAAGCCCGAUGAACCUGAAUAUCCAUUAUAGAAAAUUCAUCAUUACGAUUUUAAUAUUCGCAAUAUUAUAAUAAUGGUGUGCAUUUUUUCUAUAAAGGACAUUGUAAUCUAUUAACAUAAAAUUAAAUUUAUCAUAAGAUAAUUAUGCGUAAGUUUAUUCGCAUUAUUUUGCUUGCAAUUUAACAUAGAAUAAAUGCUUUUGAUUUGAUAAAGUGUUGAUAGAUUUAUUAUAUAUAGUGCUUAAAUAUUUAUAUUUUAUAAUAGCAUAUUAAUUUUUAAUUUUUGUGUUUAUUAUAUGCACUUAUAUGAUUAACAAUGCGAAAGAUUCAGGAUACCUUCGGGACCCGUCUUGAAACACGGACCAAGGAGUCUAACAUAUUUGCAAGUUAUUGGGAAUAAAAACCUAAUAGCGAAAUUAACAUAACUUAAAUAUAAUGGGAUUAGUUUUUAGCCUAUUUAUAGUCUAUUAAUUCAAUCCCGGGGCGUUCUAUACAGUUAUGUAUAAUAAUAUUUAUAUUAUUUAUACCUCUAACUAGAACGUACCUUGAGCAUAUAUGCUGUGACCCGAAAGAUGGUGAACUAUACUUGAUCAGGUUGAAGUCAGGGGAAACCCUGAUGGAAGACCGAAACAGUUCUGACGUGCAAAUCGAUUGUCAGAAUUGAGUAUAGGGGCGAAAGACCAAUCGAACCAUCUAGUAGCUGGUUCCCUCCGAAGUUUCCCUCAGGAUAGCUGGUGCAUUUAAAAAUUAUGUAAAAUAAUCUUAUCUGGUAAAGCGAAUGAUUAGAGGCCUUAGGGUCGAAACGAUCUUAACCUAUUCUCAAACUUUAAAUGGGUAAGAACCUCACCUUUCUUGGUAUGAAGGUCGUGGUUGUGAUAUAAUGUGCCCAGUGGGCCACUUUUGGUAAGCAGAACUGGCGCUGUGGGAUGAACCAAACGUAAUGUUACGGUGCCCAAAUUAACAACUCAUGCAGAUACCAUGAAA